Molecule: ribosomal RNA, 565 nt
Filed under: uncultured eukaryote
Lineage: Eukaryota
Description: bacterial SSU rRNA
Rfam family: Eukaryotic small subunit ribosomal RNA
Source: RNAcentral
CUGGUUGAUCCUGCCAGUAGCAUAUGCUUGUCUCAGAGAUUAAGCCAUGCAUGUCUAAGUAUAAACAACUUUGUACUGUAAAACUGCGGACGGCUCAUUAAAUCAGUUAUAAUCUACUUGAUCGUAUCUUCUAGUCGGAUAACCUUAGUAAUUCUAAAGCUAAUACGUGCAAAAAUCCGUGACUCUUAGCAAUAGGGGAAGCGGUGACUUUAUUAGAAACUAAAACCACUCACCUUCGGGUGUUUGUGAUGACUCAUGAUAACGUAUCAAAUCGCGGGCCAUAGCCUGUGAUAAUACAAACGAGUUUCUGACCUAUCAACUUUAGAUGGCAUAGUAGAGGUGUGCCAUGGUAACAACGGGUGACGGGGAAUUAGGGUUCGAUUCCGGAGAGGGAGCCUGAGAAACGGCUACCACUUCCAAGGAAGGCAGCAGGCGCGCAAAUUACCCAAUACUGAUUCGGUGAGGUAGUGACAAGAAAUACCAAUGUAGGACCCAACGGGUACUACGUUUGGAAUGAGUACAAUUUAAAAACCUUAACAAGGAACAAUUGGAGGGCAAGUCUGGU